Molecule: transfer RNA, 72 nt
Filed under: Thermoplasmata archaeon
Lineage: Archaea; Methanobacteriati; Thermoplasmatota; Thermoplasmata
Also listed under: 3 other names
Description: tRNA-Asn
Rfam family: tRNA
About the family: Transfer RNA (tRNA) molecules are approximately 80 nucleotides in length. Their secondary structure includes four short double-helical elements and three loops (D, anti-codon, and T loops).
Source: RNAcentral
GCCGCCGUAGCUCAGUGGUAGAGCACCCGGCUGUUAACCGGGCGGUCGUCGGUUCGAUCCCGACCAGCGGCG